UAAGUGAAAGAUAAAGCAAUUUUAAAACAUGGAGAAUGUCAUACCUUCAAUAUUAUAGUCCUUUUGUCUCAUAUUUAUUGCUUCAUGUUUAAGGCAAAACAGAGAGAAACCAAGAAUUCAAGGGGUCGUGUUCUUUAUAGCUCUAUUUUUACAAUUUUGAAUUUUUUAGCCGAAUCCCCGCACCCGUAUCCAUAUCUGGAUCUGCACCCCCCGAAUCUUAAAAUUUAGAUUUUGCCGAAUCUGACAGUCGGAUCCAUACCCAUAUCGGAUACCAGCACCUCGAGUCCGAGCAACUUAGCCUGAUUCUGCUGCCAUCAUCCUUUUGUCCGAAGCGACGACACUUGUGCAUACCUCACAACUGUUGUAAGUUCUCUUCCUUUCUUGGGAGAUCAAAACAACGUGGUUCACGAAGCGUUGUCAGAGUACUCACUUAAUUUAUUAAUCCUGUGGGCUCCUAGAUUUGUGCGGAUAAGUGGAAGUUAAU
This is a long non-coding RNA of Lycium ferocissimum, 484 nucleotides long. RefSeq lists it as uncharacterized. The record is from RefSeq and is a predicted model, not a curated record. The transcript has 2 exons. NCBI's taxonomy places the organism in Eukaryota, Viridiplantae, Streptophyta, Magnoliopsida, Solanales, Solanaceae.